AUUUAUAUAGUUUAAAUAAAACAAUUCAUUUUCAAUGAAUAAAUGAACCCAAGUUCUAUAAAUU
RNAcentral lists this transfer RNA (64 nucleotides) under Scantius aegyptius rossii. RNAcentral's name for it is "tRNA-Glu". It matches the Rfam family "tRNA". Rfam says of the family: Transfer RNA (tRNA) molecules are approximately 80 nucleotides in length. Their secondary structure includes four short double-helical elements and three loops (D, anti-codon, and T loops). The record is from RNAcentral. Lineage: Eukaryota; Metazoa; Arthropoda; Insecta; Hemiptera; Pyrrhocoridae.